UACAGAGGGGGCAAGCGUUGUUCGGAAUUACUGGGCGUAAAGGGCGCGUAGGCGGCCUGUGCAAGUCAGUUGUGAAAUCUCCGAGCUUAACUCGGAACGGUCAACUGAUACUGCUCGGCUAGAGUGCGGAAGGGGCAACUGGAAUUCUUGGUGUAGCGGUGAAAUGCGUAGAUAUCAAGAGGAACACCUGCGGCGAAGGCGGGUUGCUGGGCCGACACUGACGCUGAGGCGCGAAAGCUAGGGGAGCGAACGGG
RNAcentral lists this ribosomal RNA (254 nucleotides) under uncultured bacterium. RNAcentral's name for it is "partial 16S ribosomal RNA". It matches the Rfam family "Bacterial small subunit ribosomal RNA", at positions 524 to 776 of the family's 1533-position model. The record is from RNAcentral.